Molecule: long non-coding RNA, 6980 nt
Filed under: Phaseolus vulgaris (common bean)
Lineage: Eukaryota; Viridiplantae; Streptophyta; Magnoliopsida; Fabales; Fabaceae
Description: long non-coding RNA (PVUL_LNC001930)
Source: RNAcentral
UCGACCAUGACAUUCUUCUGGGCAGAUGAAACGAAGGGAAAGUCGAUGAAUUUGGAGCGGCCAUGGUCAUGGGUCUGGUGGGUCCCCUCCAUGCGAGAGGAACAGAGAGAUGAAGAAGAAGAAGAAGGUUUAAGCCUGAAAGAAGGAGAAGAAGAAGGUAGAGAGAGAUUGUAACGUGUUGAAGGAGAAAAAGAAGAUAAGAUGGAGAGUGGUGAACACCGGAAAUGGUCACAGAUCAUCACUUCCAUCACCUACCUUCUGUAACUCUUAUUCCUCAACACUGUUUUACUGUUUUAUUCUCUCCAUCACCUUUUUCAUUCCUUCACACCAUUUUGUUUUCUCACGCUAUAUCUAACUUUGUUGGAUAUUUUUAAAUCACAAUUUUGAUUUUAUUCAAUUUUUGUUUCCAGUGUUGUUGUCUUUUUCUGCGAUAUUAGAUUUGUAUCUUGAAAAAAAAAUUAAAAAUGUUUUUAAAUACGUUUUGAUUUAUAUAAAAAAAAAAUCUUUAUUCUUCAUCUAUAAAUCUAAAAUUAUCACUUUUAGUCUCAGAUUUUUUUUUCCAGCUCUUCUUCUUCUUCUGCAGUGAUAAUGGUUCAGAACUGGCGGCAGCGAAAGUGAAGGAGAAGUGGACAAGACAAUUUGGGUAUUUCACCUAAUUGUGAGUGUGCAGGUUAAAAAGAGGGGAGUGGAGGAAGUACUUACCAUCGUUGUGUUCUGAGCUCGUAUUUUUUCUCUCAAACGUAAGUAGUUUCCCCUACAUUUUUCUUCCUGCACCCUCAUAAUGUUAUGUAAAGAUCAAAUUGUCCCUAUUAUUCUUUAAAAACCCUAAAAUGCACUUGAAUUAUAUUUAUUUUUUGCAUUAUGGAUUAUGGAAUCCGGAAAAAUUUCGGAUUGGUAUUUCUGGUAAAAUUUUGGAUCCACCAAUCCGUAAUUCAAAAUAUGCAUCAUUCAAAAAAAGCAUUCUGGAUCUACCAAUCCGUAACAGAAAUAUGCAUUCCAAAUUCAAAAAUCCAUAAUUUAAGAAAAAUGCAUUCUGGAUCCAUGAAUCCGUAAUAGAAUUAAACUUCCAGAUUCAACAAUUCAGAAAUCAAUAAUUUAUGCAAAAAUUGUUUCCAAAACACCCCCUCAUACGGAAAAACAAAAUAUUCAGUUCCGAAUUGCUGAAUCCAUAGCACACGUAAAGAUUUCUAUUUCCGGUAACCACGGUCUCCUUUUUCAAAUAAAAUAUUAAGGCCAAUUUCGGGAUUUAGAAAAUUGUGGGGUGCAGGAAGAAAAAUGUAGGGGUGCAGGAAGAAGAAGCCCAAACGUAAUGUUCUACAUUAGGCCCAACAAACGUGAUGUUCAACAUUAGAUCCAACGUAAAUGUGUUUAGGGUAUUUCUUCCUACACUCCUACUUUUUUCGUAUUAUACAGUAAAAAAAAAAUGUGUGAACAUACAUGGAAAUAGUACAAAUUUGGUGAGUGCGUUAAGAAUAUUCAUCAGGAAUUAAUUUAUUAUAUUCGCUACAAUGUAUAAGUAUCUUAUGCGGAACGUUCAAUAAUUGUUUAAAAUUUUAUCCAUUUUGAUAAAAUUAACAUGUAAAAUUGUCCUAAUUUGGUUAAAAAAAACCUCUAAGAGUAGAUCAUAGAGAAGCCAAUACAACAUUUCCCAGUUUAAAAAUUUGCUUCUAGUUCAGGAAGUUAUGCGUGGGGUUUUCUAACUCAAGUCCUACAAAGUGCUUGAAAUGGAAGCACAUGGAAUGAUUUCAAUGGAGGCUUAGAAAAGUGUCAUUGUCAUAUGAAUCAUCCCUAGCAAAGAAAAGAAGGAGGCAGAUAAAGCAGAAAGUGUAAACUACUAUAAUCAUUUAUAUAAUGGAUUUCAUACAUCACUGGAGAUUCAACGAAUACUGAAGCCUACAAAUAUCCAACAAUUCCAAAUAAAUAGAAUCUUAGACAGUAAAAUACCCCUUGAUAACUUGCAGUACUCGGUUUGCUACUUCUGGACCAAACAUCCUGGGGAAGCUUGAACCAAGAUCAAUCUCAAUUGUCUUGUUUCUAAUUAGACCAUCCCUUUUAUUCAGAUAAGCUCUUUCUGCCUCUCCAACAUCUCGCUUGGCACAAGCACAAUGAUCCAACCAGAUCCCCAACACUUGCUUUGAAAUGGGGUCCAAAUGGUCCCUGAUGAUCUCCUCCAUGCGUUCUACUCCACCAUUUUCAGUCACAAUGCGAACCAGUAUGGCCGUAGGGGAGAAAACAGUGCGGAGGCAAAGGGAAGGAGAGAAAUAUGGUUGAACCUCUGGAACUCUUUCCAGAGCCUGCCUAUGAGUGUCCAAUUCAGUGUCCUCGUAGAAAGUUUUGAGGUCAUCUGGCCAAAGCACAAGGUCUUUCCGGGGAGGAAAAUCAAGAAUCAGAACUAGCAUAGUUGGACUCCUGCGGAUCAUUUCAAAGACAAAAUUUGGUGCAUCAGUUGAGCUCUUAAGAUAGGCUGAAAGACUUGUUAUAUCUAAGGACCCUCCUGUUGGUAACUCAGAGUGCACCCAGCUUCCCAGUACAAAAUCUACCUGUCACCAACACAAAAAUGAGGACUAAAUUCAGAACAAAAAACACACUUUUUCACAACGAGGAAAGACAGUCUUUCUGGAAUAAUGUUAGCACCACACUCUUUGUAAUUGGUUGACACUAAUUUUAGUGGGUUUGACCCCUGAUUUAAUAAUUGUCUCCUGAUUUUGUAAUUUUUCAGUGUAAAUUUCAGUCAACAAGGAAGAGUUUACGAAAGAGUGUGCUAAAGAAUAUGCUUCUUUUGUUUCCCAUCAUAUCAUUGAUCACAUAUUUCACUAUCUCUCUUCCUUUUCUUUUCUUUUUCUUUUCACCUUUUCUUCCCUCAGCUAUCUACCCCAAAACUUAGGUGUAGGCUUAUCCUUUUCCGUUUUUUAUGUAGUAAUGAGAUUGCAUCCUUGUCUACUUGCAAACUACUCAAAAACUUGGUAAUGUUUACCCUUUUUCAUUGCAAUUCAAAUUGUAAGUACACUACAGGUAAAUCACCAAUCAAGUCUAAACACUAUUACUAAUUACCUUCUCUUCUAUCCUUAACAUAAUAUAACAAAAUUAAUAUGAAUAGUCUAUAAGGUAUUCCUAUCCAUCAACAUAAAAAAAAAAUUGAGUUGUAAGAAAUUAUGUAAAUUGAUUUCUAUAAAGAGACUCACAUGAUCAAGGAAGCAUCAACCACUAGACCAAACAAGUUCUUUGAUUAUAUUACCAUUUUUAUUAUACAUAUUAUUAUUAAUACAAUUUAUACAUAUUAUUAUUAAUACAAUUUAUACUUAUUAUUAUUAAUAUAACUUAUACAUAUUAUUAUUAAUAUAAUUUAUACUUAUUAUUAUUAAUAUAAUUUGUACAUAUUAUUAUUAAUAUAAUUUGUACAUAUUAUUAAUAUAAUUUAUACAUAUUAUUAUUAAUAUAAUUUAAAUUUAUUAUUAUUAAUAUAAUUUAUAAAUAUUAUUAUUAAUAUAAUUUAAACUUAUUAUUAUUAAUAUAAUUUAUACAAUUUAUAAUAAUAAUAAUAUAAAUUAUAUUCAUAUUAUUAAUAAUAUUAAUAAUAUUUUUAAUAAUAUUAUAUUCAUAUUAUUAAUGUUAUAUUUCAUAUUAUUAUUAUAUUCAUAUUAUUAAUAUUAUAUUCAUAUUAUUAAUAUUAUUAGUAUUAUUAGUAUUAUUAAUAUUAUUAGUAUUAUUAGUAUUAUUAAUAUUAUUAGUAUUAUUAGUAUUAUUAAUAUUAUUAAUAUCAUUAAUAUUAUUAAAAUUAAUUAAUAUUAUUAAUAUCAUUAAUAUUAUUAAAAUUAAUUAAUAUUAUUAAUAUCAUUAAUAUUAUUAAUAUUAUUAGUAUUAUUAUUUAUAAUAAGUAUAAUAAAAAUCAUAAUAAUACAAAAGAAGUUGACUGUUGUAUUGGUUAAAUUUUUUCUAGUUACUUUUGUUUUAUGGUGCCAAAGUUACAUACGAAUUUUGAUUCGUAUGUAAUAAUCCGUAUAUAAUUCGCGUUUUUCUUGUAGUGGAUGAGCUUAAAUCAAUGGCACAUAAUGAUGUAUGGGACCUUAUAGAAUUGCCAGAAGGAUGCAAGAGAGUCGGGUGUAAAUGGGUCCGCCUUGUUGCCAAAAGUUUUACUCAAAAUGAUGGCAUUGAUUAUAAGGAAACACUUUCACCUGUUUCUAAGAAAGAUUUCUUUAGAAUUAUCAUGACGUUAGUAGCUCAUUAUGAUCUUGAGUUGCAUCAAAUGGAUGUCAAAACUGCCUUUCUGAAUGGGGAUUUAAAAGAGGAUGUUUAUAUGGACCAACCAGUGGGGUUCAUUGAAGAAGGAAAGGAACACAUGGUGUGUAAACUUAAGAAAUCAAUAUACGGGCUUAAACAGGCUUCUAGGCAAUGGUAUCUUAAGUUCAAUGAUACUAUUGUGUCCUUUGGAUUUAAGGAAAACAUCGUUGAUCGGUGAAGCAUACUAUGUGAUAGGAAUUGAAAUAUUCAGUGACAGAUCACAAGGACUGUUAGGUUUGUCUCAGAAAGCAUAUAUUAAUAAAGUUUUAGAGAGAUUCAGAAUGGAUAAAUGUUCGACAUCUCCUGUUCCAAUACAGAAAGGAGACUAAUUUAGUCACACGCAAUGUCCAAAGAAUGAUUUGGAACGAAAACAGAUGGAGAAUAUACCUUAUGCAUCUAUUGUUGGGAGUUUAAUGUAUGCUCAAACUUGUACACGGCCAGAUAUUAGUUUUGCAAUUGGUAUGCUUGGAAGAUACUAGAGUAAUCCAGGAUUGGAUCAUUGGAAAGCUGCAAAGAAAGUUUUAAGAUACUUGCAAGGAACGAAGGAUCACAUGCUUACUUAUAAAAGAUCUGGUCAUCUUGAGGUGAUUGGAUAUACAGAUUCAGAUUUUGCUGGUUGUGUGGAUACACGAAAGUCUACUUUUGGUUAUGUGUAUCUUUUAGCCGGAGGAGCGAUUUCAUGGAAAAGUGUGAAACAUUGUUGCAUCCACCAUGGAGGCUAAAUUUGUGGCAUGCUUUGAUGCCACAGUUCAGGCUAAUUGGUUGCGGAAUUUUGUUUCAGGACUUGGAAUUGUUGACAGUAUUGCCAAGCCGCUGAGAAUUUAUUGUGAUAACUCCGCAGUUGUCUUCUUUUCUAAAACGACAAGUAUUCCAAAGGUGUUAAACAUAUGGAAUUGAAAUAUUUUGCCGUUAAAGAAGUUCAGAAACAUAGAGUGUCAAUAAAACGUAUUAGAACUGAUCUUAUGAUUGCUAACCCUUUAACAAAAGGGUUACCGUCCAAAACAUUUACUGGUCAUGUUGUAAAUAUGGACAUUAUGUCUACUAGUGAAUGAUGAAUGUUGUUAUUAAUUCUUAUUUGACACUCUGAACUCAUUGAAUAAAUAAAGUUUCUGAAAUUUAUGUUUUCUACUUUAUGUAUAUGCAUGUAAAUCAUGCUGUGGAAAACAAAUUAUGUUGUUAUUGAUGAAAAUGACAUUAUGUUUGAACCUAUUAUGGAUUUCUCAUUAUAAAGUCAUAUUAAGGAGAAAGGAUGAUAUAGUAGUACAUGGAAGGAAAUGUGUCGAUUGAAAUGACAUGUAACAUGACUCUUAUUAUAUCUGUAUCCUUGAUUUUGAUUAAUGAUAGAACCAAUUUAUGUAAGACAUUUUAAAUGCGCGCAUUUAUAUAAUUAUUAAAUCAUGAAAGUAUUAUAACUCAUAAGUCAAGUGGGAGAAUGUAAGAAAUUAUGUAAAUAAUUUUUAUAAAGUGACUCACGAGCUUUGGGUCCGAAUAUGAUUUAAUAAUAAUAAUAGAAUAAAGGACCCAUUGGUUAACGUGAUAAAUAUAUAUAUAUAUAUGAUAUAUCUAAUUAAAACCAACAUCUGAUGGAGAUUGGGAACUAAAAACUAUCAGGUUCUAUCUCUGCAAAUAAUAGUUGUCUCAAUGUUAACCAUCAUGAAAGUGUGUGACAAGAACAUAAUUGCUAAGAGAUAGAUUGAGACAAAUGAGAUAAAACAAUUGUUUAAGUAGGAUCACUCAUGGAUCAAGGUAAGUACCUAUUCCUUCUUAAUUGUAUGGAUAUAUGUGAGAAUCAUGAUAUGAUAAGAUUGUAUGAGAACAUUAUUGUAUAUUGUAUAUGUUCUUAAUAAUGUUUAAUCGUGUUUUAACGUAUAUAUCAAGAAGCACUUUUCAAUAAUUGAUAAAUCCUCUGUAUAUUUUCAAUUAUUGGAGGGACUGUUUAUAUAAUUGAUGUACUAUGGAGAGACAGUAACAGUAACAGUUUGGGGGCACAGAAAAGGACAAAAUUUAAAAAUACUAGAUUUCCCAUUUGCUUCGGUAUAUGGUAGUAGAUUGAGUACCUAAUUCUCAACCCAAUACCCUCAUCUCUUUCUAAUGCCAAUACUUAGAUUUAAAACUCCAUUAAUCACUAAAAAACAAGUUAAAACGAAAUUGGGAAGAAAAAUAAAGACUUUGUAUUGAAAUUGAGGAAGUUGAGAAGGGAAAAUUUACCGGAGAAUCAUCACUGCCUGAUCUGAUAUGAAGAGAAGCUUGGGCAGUGGCAGUUUGGCUUUGAUAAUACUGAACAUCAGGGGGAAGCGUGCAAGGAAGAAGCUGAGAGUGAAGGCGAUUCUCAAGCCUCGAAACGAGAUCGACCAUGACAUUCUUCUGGGCAGAUGAAACGAAGGGAAAGUCGAUGAAUUUGGAGCGGCCAUGGUCAUGGGUCUGGUGGGUCCCUUCCAUGCGAGAGGAACAGAGAGAUGAAGAAGAAGAAGAAGAAGAAGAAGGAUUAAGCCUGAAAGAAGAAGAAGAAGAAGAAGAAGGUAGAGAGAGAUGGUAACGUGUUGAAGGAGAAAAAGAAGAUAAGAUGGAGAGUGGUGAACACCGGAAAUGGUCGCAGAUCAUCACUUCCAUCACUCUUAUUCCUCAACUCUGUUUUACUCUGUUCUACUCUGUUUUACUCUCUCCGUCACCUUUUUCAUUCCUUCACACCAUUUUGUUUUCUC